Molecule: long non-coding RNA, 670 nt
Organism: Cynara cardunculus var. scolymus (artichoke)
Lineage: Eukaryota; Viridiplantae; Streptophyta; Magnoliopsida; Asterales; Asteraceae
Exons: 2
Source: RefSeq, a predicted model, not a curated record
GUGGAGAAAAAGAAAAGUGAGCUUUUCUGCGUGUGUGUUCUUUGGAACCGUGAAAGAGAGAGCAGAAAGAAGAGAAGGGAUAAGCUGAAAUAUGUGAUUCAUAAUCUGAUUAUUUGCUGCUAUUUGUCUUCAUCUCUGUUAAUUAAGAUGUCCAGUCAUUCACGAAGGUCAGAAAGGAUCGCCCUUAUUAGCCAGGAGGAAAGGGAAAGUUUGCCAAAAAAUAUUCCUACAAAUUUACCAGGGUGCAGAGGCAAAGGGAAAGGUCGGGAUAGAGGCUGUGGAAGAGGUCGUGGGAGAGGAAUGAUUAAUCAACCUGAAAUUCAUCCAGAUCAUGGUGAAUCAAUUCAGGAAAAUGUAAAUCAACAACCUGUACAACAUCCUGAGUAUGUUACUAUGGACAUAUUAGUAGAGGAAAUGAGCAAGUUGAGAAAUACUCUGACAUCUAUUCUGGGAGUACCAUCCAAAGUAGAAACAGAAAGAGUUGAGAUAAAUCCGUAGAUUCAAUCUACAAGAACUAGGGGGUGAUAUUAAAAUGUUCUUAACUUGUAAACCUCCAACAUUUUCUGGAGAUAGAGAUCCGGUAAAGGCAAUGUGCUGGCUGGGGAGAUAGAAUCCGUAUUCAAUACUAGAAAGUGUUUAUGUGAAGAUAAAGUCAAAUUUUUUGUAUCAA